AGGUGAUCUAUCCAUGAGCAGGAUGAAGGUAGGGUAACACCUACUGGAGGUCCGAACCGGUGUCUGUUGAAAAAGACUCGGAUGACUUGUGGAUAGGGGUGAAAGGCUAAUCAAACUCGGUGAUAGCUGGUUCUCCCCGAAAGCUAUUUAGGUAGCGCCUCGGACGAAUACCAUUGGGGGUAGAGCACUGUUUCGGCUAGGGGGUCAUCCCGACUUACCAAACCGAUGCAAACUCCGAAUACCAGCAAGUGUCAGCACGGGAGACACACGGCGGGUGCUAACGUCCGUCGUGAAAAGGGAAACAACCCAGACCGUCAGCUAAGGUCCCAAAGUUAUGGUUAAGUGGGAAACGAUGUGGGAAGGCUUAGACAGCUAGGAGGUUGGCUUAGAAGCAGCCAUCCUUUAAAGAAAGCGUAAUAGCUCACUAGUCGAGUCGGCCUGCGCGGAAGAUGUAACGGGGCUCAAACCAUACACCGAAGCUACGGGUUCAUCCUUUGGAUGAGCGGUAGAGGAGCGUUCUGUAAGCCUGUGAAGGUGAGUUGAGAAGCUUGCUGGAGGUAUCAGAAGUGCGAAUGCUGACAUGAGUAACGACAAUGCGAGUGAAAAACUCGCACGCCGAAAGACCAAGGUUUCCUGCGCAACGUUAAUCGACGCAGGGUUAGUCGGCCCCUAAGGCGAGGCAGAAAUGCGUAGUCGAUGGGAAACGGGUUAAUAUUCCCGUACUUCUAGUUACUGCGAUGGAGGGACGGAGAAGGCUAGGCCAGCACGGCGUUGGUUGUCCGUGUUUAAGGUGGUAGGCUGAGAUCUUAGGUAAAUCCGGGAUCUUAAGGCCGAGAGCUGAUGACGAGCGUUCUUUUAGAAUGCGAAGUGGUUGAUGCCAUGCUUCCAGGAAAAGCUUCUAAGCUUCAGGUAACUAGGAACCGUACCCCAAACCGACACAGGUGGUUAGGUAGAGAAUACCAAGGCGCUUGAGAGAACUCGGGUGAAGGAACUAGGCAAAAUGGCACCGUAACUUCGGGAGAAGGUGCGCCGGUGAGGGUGAAGUAUUUACUGCGUAAGCCCAUGCCGGUCGAAGAUACCAGGCCGCUGCGACUGUUUAUUAAAAACACAGCACUCUGCAAACACGAAAGUGGACGUAUAGGGUGUGACGCCUGCCCGGUGCCGGAAGAUUAAAUGAUGGGGUGCAAGCUCUUGAUUGAAGUCCCGGUAAACGGCGGCCGUAACAAUAACGGUCCUAAGGUAGCGAAAUUCCUUGUCGGGUAAGUUCCGACCUGCACGAAUGGCGUAACGAUGGCGGCGCUGUCUCCACCCGAGACUCAGUGAAAUUGAAAUCGCUGUGAAGAUGCAGUGUAUCCGCGGCUAGACGGAAAGACCCCGUGAACCUUUACUAUAGCUUUGCACUGGACUUUGAGCUUGCUUGUGUAGGAUAGGUGGGAGGCUUUGAAGUGGGGACGCCAGUUCUCAUGGAGCCAUCCUUGAAAUACCACCCUGGCAACCUUGAGGUUCUAACUCUGGUCCGUUAUCCGGAUCGAGGACAGUGUAUGGUGGGUAGUUUGACUGGGGCGGUCUCCUCCCAAAGAGUAACGGAGGAGUACGAAGGUGCGCUCAGACCGGUCGGAAAUCGGUCGUAGAGUAUAAAGGCAAAAGCGCGCUUGACUGCGAGACAGACACGUCGAGCAGGUACGAAAGUAGGUCUUAGUGAUCCGGUGGUUCUGUAUGGAAGGGCCAUCGCUCAACGGAUAAAAGGUACUCCGGGGAUAACAGGCUGAUACCGCCCAAGAGUUCAUAUCGACGGCGGUGUUUGGCA
RNAcentral lists this ribosomal RNA (1807 nucleotides) under Acartia tonsa. RNAcentral describes it as "bacterial LSU rRNA". It matches the Rfam family "Bacterial large subunit ribosomal RNA", at positions 723 to 2523 of the family's 2925-position model. Lineage: Eukaryota; Metazoa; Arthropoda; Copepoda; Calanoida; Acartiidae. The record is from RNAcentral.